This 45-nucleotide non-coding RNA is filed under the name Trichobilharzia regenti. Lineage: Eukaryota; Metazoa; Platyhelminthes; Trematoda; Strigeidida; Schistosomatidae. The record is from RNAcentral.
AUUCAGCUGACGAGUUCCAAACGGUACGAAAUGUACAUCUUGAAU